Aphis gossypii (cotton aphid) is the source of this 737-nucleotide long non-coding RNA. RefSeq lists it as uncharacterized. The transcript is spliced from 3 exons. NCBI's taxonomy places the organism in Eukaryota, Metazoa, Arthropoda, Insecta, Hemiptera, Aphididae. The record is from RefSeq and is a predicted model, not a curated record.
CCCUCGAAGUUGAUGGAUUUUACUGCUUCCAAAGAUAUUGUCAGACACAUAGAACGAACUCAAGUCAUUGCAGAACCUAUACAUUAAUCGCUUCAAUCAGAACUUUAAUGUACAAUAUAUGAAUUUCACGUAAGAAAUGUCUUCAGGAUUAAAAGCGUAGUCGCUGCAGUAGGAAAAAAUACAUAGGUACCUACCUAUAUAUGUCACGAUAAUUUUCCGGACUUAUAUCUUGUUGAAAUGGAAAACCGUCGACGGCCAGUCAAUCGGAAUGGAUUCUACUGCUGUUUAUUGUCACCUUGGAGUGUUCACAAUGCGCGAGAAAAGUUAUUGCGAAUUAAUAAUCAUAAACAUAUAGUACAAUAAUAAAUUAUUAAUAAAUAAUAUUAUACUGUUUCAGUUCACAAGACUUCCCCUUCGGGAAUCUCUCAAUACCCAAUUCACCAGAACGCACAAGGUUUUGGAGAUUACAGAAUAGCGAUCCGCUGGUAUUGACGGAGGAGAAACGCGAUUUUAACGAUCGAUUUAUAACAUAAUAGCAUAAAUAUUGUUAGACAUUUGCGUCCAACCGCAAUGACAUAAAUAGUAUCAGUACGAUAUUGUUGUAAACUGUAUGAGGACAAUAUUAUAUUGUUAUGUUUCGUACCUAAAUAGAAAUGGGUGCGCGCCACAAAUUAGUAUUGUCGUCGAAAUAUUAUAUUAUUAUUAUUAUUUACGUCUUUAGGUUUUUAUGAAUAAUA